CGCGUAGGUGGCCAAUUAAGUCAAAUGUGAAAUCCCCGAGCUUAACUUGGGAAUUGCAUUCGAUACUGGUUGGCUAGAGUAUGGGAGAGGAUGGUAGAAUUCCAGGUGUAGCGGUGAAAUGCGUAGAGAUCUGGAGGAAUACCGAUGGCGAAGGCAGCCAUCUGGCCUAAUACUGACACUGAGGCACGAAAGUGUGGGGAUCAAACAGGAUUAGAUACCCGGGUA
Molecule: ribosomal RNA, 225 nt
Filed under: uncultured Acinetobacter sp.
Lineage: Bacteria; Pseudomonadati; Pseudomonadota; Gammaproteobacteria; Moraxellales; Moraxellaceae
Description: partial 16S ribosomal RNA
Rfam family: Bacterial small subunit ribosomal RNA
Source: RNAcentral